UACGGGGGGGGCAAGCGUUGUUCGGAAUUACUGGGCGGAAAGGGCUCGUAGGCGGCCAACUAAGUCAGACGUGAAAUCCCUCGGCUUAACCGGGGAACUGCGUCUGAUACUGGAUGGCUUGAGGUUGGGAGAGGGAUGCGGAAUUCCAGGUGUAGCGGUGAAAUGCGUAGAUAUCUGGAGGAACACCGGUGGCGAAGGCGGCAUCCUGGACCAAUUCUGACGCUGAGGAGCGAAAGCCAGGGGAGCAAACGGG
RNAcentral lists this ribosomal RNA (253 nucleotides) under uncultured bacterium. RNAcentral describes it as "partial 16S ribosomal RNA". It matches the Rfam family "Bacterial small subunit ribosomal RNA", at positions 524 to 776 of the family's 1533-position model. The record is from RNAcentral.